UCAUUGACUUCUAGGAUGGUAACUGUACAUAUCAUGGCUAUCUAUCAACACAGAACAUAUAUGAUGCCUCCUGUUCCAGAUGUUGAAACAAACUGGGGAAAAUGCUGAAGAAAAUACAAUAGGACAGAACAUCUGAGAAAUGCUGCAAAAUUUAAUUGUUUGAAAGCUGUCUGCCAAGGCAAGGUUUUUCGAAACUCUUGAAAGUCUAUUAUCAUAAUUCAGAAGAAAGGAGAAAAAAAGAAAAAGAUUUUGAAGCCUCAUUGGACAUGGGAAUUGCUGAUGAACUGGAGAUGGAAUGAAGAUAAUGUGACCUUUGUUGUCAUUAAUGUACCAACUGUAGCAAAGAUGCAGCAUGUGGUUUUGAAAUAAAUUCAGUUAUGCUACAUUUUCA
RNAcentral lists this long non-coding RNA (391 nucleotides) under Crocodylus porosus (Australian saltwater crocodile). Its description in RNAcentral is "lncRNA (ENSCPRG00005008905.1)". Lineage: Eukaryota; Metazoa; Chordata; Crocodylia; Crocodylidae. The record is from RNAcentral.